RNAcentral lists this unclassified non-coding RNA (212 nucleotides) under Agrostis capillaris (colonial bentgrass). RNAcentral's name for it is "partial internal transcribed spacer 2". Lineage: Eukaryota; Viridiplantae; Streptophyta; Magnoliopsida; Poales; Poaceae. The record is from RNAcentral.
AAAACACGCUCCCACCCCCUCAUCGGGUAGCGGGACGCGGCAUGUGGCCCCCCGUAGCGCAAGCUGCGGUGGGCCGAAGAUAUGGUUGCCGGCGUAUCGUGCCGGACACAGCGCGUGGUGAGCGACCUCGCUUUACUUACCGCAGUGCAUCCGGGGCGUAGCCGACGUGAUGGCCUCUAAGGACCCUUUUAACGGUGCGCACGACGCUCCGA